This 284-nucleotide ribosomal RNA is filed under the name uncultured soil bacterium. RNAcentral's name for it is "partial 16S ribosomal RNA". It matches the Rfam family "Bacterial small subunit ribosomal RNA", at positions 26 to 338 of the family's 1533-position model. The record is from RNAcentral.
AGAACGAACGCUGGCGGCAUGCCUAAUACAUGCAAGUCGAACGAACUCUUCGGAGUUAGUGGCGCACGGGUGCGUAACGCGUGGGAAUCUGCCCCUUGGUUCGGAAUAACAGUUGGAAACGACUGCUAAUACCGGAUGAUGACGAAAGUCCAAAGACUUAUCGCCAAGGGAUGAGCCCGCGUAGGAUUAGCUAGUUGGUGAGGUAAAGGCUCACCAAGGCAACGAUCCUUAGCUGGUCUGAGAGGAUGAUCAGCCACACUGGGACUGAGACACGGCCCAGACCU